RNAcentral lists this ribosomal RNA (424 nucleotides) under uncultured Flavobacteriia bacterium. RNAcentral's name for it is "bacterial SSU rRNA". It matches the Rfam family "Bacterial small subunit ribosomal RNA", at positions 830 to 1258 of the family's 1533-position model. The record is from RNAcentral. Lineage: Bacteria; Pseudomonadati; Bacteroidota; Flavobacteriia.
CGCAUCGGAUUCAGAGAUCAAGCGAAAGUGCUAAAUCACCCACCUGGGGAGUACGGGCGCAAGCCUGAAACUCAAAGGAAUUGACGGGGGCCCGCACAAGCGGUGGAUUAUGUGGUUUAAUUCGAUGAUACGCGAGGAACCUUACCAAGACUUAAAUGGGAAUUGACAGAUUUAGAGAUAGAUCUUUCUUCGGACAAUUUUCAAGGUGCUGCAUGGUUGUCGUCAGCUCGUGCCGUGAGGUGUUAGGUUAAGUCCUGCAACGAGCGCAACCCCUGUCACUAGUUGCUACCACUCAGUUGAGGACUCUAGUGAGACUGCCUACGCAAGUAGAGAGGAAGGUGGGGAUGACGUCAAACCAUCACGGCCCUUACGUCUUGGGCCACACACGUAAUACAAUGGCCGGUACAGAGGGCAGCUACACUGC